GAACACCAGUGGCGAAGGCGACUUACAGGGCCGUAACUGACGUUGAUGCGCGAAAGGCUGGGGAGCGAACAGGAUUAGAUACCCUGGUAGUCCACGCUGUAAACGAUGAGUGCUAGGUGUAGCGGGUAUCGACCCCUGCUGUGCCGGAGUUAACACAAUAAGCACUCCGCCUGGGGAGUACGGCCGCAAGGUUGAAACUCAAAGGAAUUGACGGGGGCCCGCACAAGCAGCGGAGCAUGUGGUUUAAUUCGAAGCAACGCGAAGAACCUUACCAGGUCUUGACAUCGAGGCAAAGCCGUAGAGAUACGGUGUUCAGCAAUGAGGCCGAAGACAGGUGGUGCAUGGUUGUCGUCAGCUCGUGUCGUGAGAUGUUGGGUUAAGUCCCGCAACGAGCGCAACCCUUAUUGUCAGUUACUAACGGGUAAAGCCGAGGACUCUGACGAGACUGCCGGGGACAACUCGGAGGAAGGUGGGGACGACGUCAAAUCAUCAUGCCCCUUAUGACCUGGGCUACACACGUGCUACAAUGGUGGUAACAGAGAGGCGCGAGCUCGCAAGGGGGAGCGGAUCUCAAAAAAGCCAUCUCAGUUCGGAUUGUGGGCUGCAACCCGCCCACAUGAAGUUG
Molecule: ribosomal RNA, 625 nt
Filed under: uncultured bacterium
Lineage: Bacteria
Description: bacterial SSU rRNA
Rfam family: Bacterial small subunit ribosomal RNA
Source: RNAcentral